CGGGGUGUUGCCCAGGUGGUAGGGCGCCACAUUUGGGAUGUGGAAGUCGCAGGUUCAAGUCCUGUCACCCCGA
This 73-nucleotide transfer RNA is filed under the name Herelleviridae sp. Its description in RNAcentral is "tRNA-Pro". It matches the Rfam family "tRNA". From Rfam's summary of the family: Transfer RNA (tRNA) molecules are approximately 80 nucleotides in length. Their secondary structure includes four short double-helical elements and three loops (D, anti-codon, and T loops). The record is from RNAcentral. Lineage: Duplodnaviria; Heunggongvirae; Uroviricota; Caudoviricetes; Herelleviridae.